GCCUGCAGCCUCGGGCUGCUCACCGUCUGUUGGAUCUGCGAGCGCCGAGCACAGCGGCCAGAGCGGACCUCGCUGCCCGGGGCACCAUGAGCCGCAGCCUGGACGCGGCGCGGAGCUUCCUGCAUCAGUUGGAGGCUCGGGGCGGCCGGGAGGGGGCGGUCCUCGCCAGCGAGUUCAGAGACAUCCGGGCCCGCUCAGCCGCCUGGAAGACUGACAGUUUGUGCUCCACUGAGGCUGGCAGUUUGCCAGGGAACGUGAGGAAGAACCGCUACAAAGACGUGCUACCCUAUGAUCAGACACGAGUGAUCCUCUCCCUGCUGCAUGAGGAGGGCCACAGCGACUACAUCAAUGGCAACUUCAUCCGGGGCACAGAUGGAAGCCAGGCCUACAUUGCCACGCAAGGACCCCUGCCUCACACCUUGCUAGACUUCUGGCGCCUGGUCUGGGAGUUUGGGGUCAAGGUGAUCCUGAUGGCUUGUCGAGAGAUGGAGAAUGGACGGAAAAAGUGUGAGCGUUACUGGGCCCAAGAACAGGAACCACUACAGAUUGGGCUUUUCUACAUCACUCUGACAAGAGAGACAUGGAUGAAUGCAGACAUAAUUCUCAGGACCCUCCAUGUCACCUUUCAGAAGGAAUCCCGUUCUGUGUACCAGCUGCAGUAUAUGUCCUGGCCAGACAGAGGGGUCCCCAGCAGUCCUGACCAUUUGCUUGCCAUGGUGGAGGAAGCCCAUCGCCUCCAGGGCUCUCGCCCCAGCCCCCUCUGUGUCCACUGCAGCGCUGGUUGUGGGCGGACAGGUGUCCUGUGCACUGUGGAUUAUGUGAGGCAGUUGCUCCUGACCCAGAUGAUCCCACCCAACUUCAGCCUCUUUGAUGUGGUCCUUGAGAUGCGCAGGCAGCGGCCUGCGGCUGUGCAGACAGAGGAGCAGUACAGGUUCCUGUACCAGACUGUGGCUCAGAUGUUUUGCUCAGCACUGCAAAACACAGGUCCCCAGUACCAGAACCUCAAAGAGAAUUGUGCCCCACUCUACGAUGAUGCCUUGUCCCUCGGGAUUUCUCAGGCCCUUCCUGUCAUACUUCGAGCACCAGGCAGCGUCCUCAGAAACGACCACCCCUCAAUACCGAUGCCCUGCCCAUUCACCUGCCAAGUCGACCCCUCCCCUCCUUCAUCUACCGGACUUGCGGCCGCUGGGGACACAGAAACGAGAGCCCCUCACCCCCAGCCGCCUGCCGCCCCUCCAGAGCGGCGCGCCGCCGGGGCGGAGAGGAAGCCUGCGGUUUGCGCUCUCCCCCCGCCCCCCGGCCGCCGCUUCACUUCCUCCCCGCCCUCCGCACCCGCAGGAGCAUCUCUGUGCCCGCGCCCCCGGCCCGCGCCAUGGCCGACACGUACGCGGCCGUGCAGAAGCGCGGGGUCCCCAGCGCGGGCGCGGACGGAGCGCCGCUCUACAGCCAGGUGACCCCGCGCGGGCGCCGACCCCAGGCUCCCGCGGACGACGCGCGCCGGUCCCAGGCUCCCGCGGACGACGCGCGGCGGACACCUCCCGGCUUUGUUCCGGUUGACCAGAGGCCAGCCGGGCCCGGCGCCUAUGAGGAUGUGGUGGACGGAGCUCAGAGCAGUGGGCUAG
This is a non-coding RNA of Manis javanica (Malayan pangolin), 1622 nucleotides long. NCBI's taxonomy places the organism in Eukaryota, Metazoa, Chordata, Mammalia, Pholidota, Manidae. The record is from RefSeq and is a predicted model, not a curated record.